CUUUAGGCUUGGGAGCCAGCGCCGGGUAAUCGAGUCUACCCGAUUCUCAAUGCCAGAGUCGGGGAGUCGACCCUGAUCUCUGGAGACUCGAGUACCAAGCGGCGGCGGUUCUGAGAUAAAGGGACUCGAGUCUUUGCCAUGCUCUCUCAUUCAUGGACGAAAAUCGGCCCCAGCGCCGACUCUCAGCGCCGAAUCCAAGCACUGAGAUAAAAUAAAUGUGGAAUUUGGAGCCGAAGAGUCACAUACUUCGAGCAGAAUGUUUCUCUGCUUGGAGCCUGCAGUAUACCGCGUGUAUUAGGCUCAGUGUGCAUGACUGCAUGUGGUAUGGAGAUGCAUCGUGUGCAUUGUGUGUACUGUGUAUGUGUGUGUAUGUGACUGUAAAAUGCCAGUAGAGACCACGUGCGUUGUGGUGAGCGACACUUGUGAUUGUAUCAUGAAAGUUAGUGUAUUGGGAUUUGUGUGUGGAAUGUGUGAGAAGUUAUGAAGGUGUAAGA
Long non-coding RNA from Lytechinus variegatus (green sea urchin), 494 nucleotides. RefSeq lists it as uncharacterized. The record is from RefSeq and is a predicted model, not a curated record. The transcript has 3 exons. Lineage: Eukaryota; Metazoa; Echinodermata; Echinoidea; Temnopleuroida; Toxopneustidae.